UACGUAGGGGGCAAGCGUUGUCCGGAAUUAUUGGGCGUAAAGGGAGCGUAGGCGGCGGCGCAAGUCUCAUGUGAAAUACCCGGGCUUAACCCGGGGGUUGCAAGAGAAACUGCGUUGCUAGAGUACAGGAGAGGCAAGUGGAAUUCCUAGUGUAGCGGUGAAAUGCAUAGAUAUUAGGAGGAACACCAGUGGCGAAGGCGACUUGCUGGACUGAAACUGACGCUGAGGCUCGAAAGCGUGGGGAGCAAACAGG
RNAcentral lists this ribosomal RNA (253 nucleotides) under uncultured bacterium. RNAcentral describes it as "partial 16S ribosomal RNA". It matches the Rfam family "Bacterial small subunit ribosomal RNA", at positions 524 to 776 of the family's 1533-position model. The record is from RNAcentral.